RNAcentral lists this unclassified non-coding RNA (251 nucleotides) under fungal sp. Its description in RNAcentral is "partial internal transcribed spacer region". The stretch from base 1 to 46 matches the Rfam family "Eukaryotic small subunit ribosomal RNA", at positions 1786 to 1831 of the family's 1831-position model. Lineage: Eukaryota; Fungi. The record is from RNAcentral.
AAGUCGUAACAAGGUUUCCGUAGGUGAACCUGCGGAAGGAUCAUUAACAAAGAGUUGGACUCUUAGUCAUAAAAAACCAUUAGUGCGAAAGAAGUUUGACUUCCUAGCUCUCUUGGUUGACUUUGAGUCUUUCACUUUCAACCACAUGUGAACAUACCAACUAUCUAUUACUGAAGUCUGAUUUUGAAACAUUGGUGUUUAAAGACACUAGUAAUCAAAAACAACUUUUGGCAACGGAUCUCUUGGCUCUC